UCUGCUAUGAGAAAGGAACUAAAACCAAUGGAUCAGUUCCCCCACCAUGUGAAUUUAAAGGAAUGAAACAUUUCAGCCUCAUUGGUGAUGGUGUAAUGAAAGUCUUCACCUCUCUUCCCAUCCAAAGAGAUUUUGAGAAAGAGUAAGCCCAGAGUUGCCAAAUGGAUGCCCAACCCCAAGAAUUUGAAGCCAGGACAAGCAAGCAACUUCAUUCUUCAAACCCUAGAAAACUGAUCCACUCUGAACUGUGUUCUGUCUGGACCUUUUCUAAGGGAGCUCACCAUACUCUGCUGUGCAACCUACUGGUGUCUUGGUCAAGAAGUUAUCUCCAGGUACAACAC
Molecule: long non-coding RNA, 341 nt
Organism: Marmota monax (woodchuck)
Lineage: Eukaryota; Metazoa; Chordata; Mammalia; Rodentia; Sciuridae
Exons: 3
Source: RefSeq, a predicted model, not a curated record